Anguilla rostrata (American eel) is the source of this 459-nucleotide long non-coding RNA. RefSeq lists it as uncharacterized. The transcript has 3 exons. Lineage: Eukaryota; Metazoa; Chordata; Actinopteri; Anguilliformes; Anguillidae. The record is from RefSeq and is a predicted model, not a curated record.
GAGUAUCUAUCGUCGCAAAGUUAGUAAACAUACAACUAACGACGUUAAUUGACAAGAUGCACUUAUCUAUAUAGUGGUCUGUCUGACAGUAACCCCUGAUGUGAAUUGUGCGGUCUCUCUUCGCGGCGAUUGCACAACACUUUCGCUUGCGCACAGAUUUCUUCCCUUUCGGAAAGAUUGCGAUUGAGAAAUGGAGAAGAAGCACAUGAUCGGAGGAACAACAGAGGUCUUAGCCGCGAGUGCGCUUGAUUCGUUAUGUUUUUAAUUGGACAAAACGGUGGUGUGAACCGCAUACCGAAAGAUACAAUGAAUUGAAAAAGACAAGCUGCGUUGGGCUCUUGGUGAAGAAAAGCCCCCCAAAAAGCAGCAGAUUUGACACUUUGAAGAUGAGGUCAACGCACUUGUCGGACUUAUUAAAUAAGCUGAUGGGCCGGUAUCCAGGCUCGCCGCCAGAGUCCC